GGGAGGAGCUAAGAAGAAAAGAUUAUUUGGUCUUGGGUUUGAAGCUGACAGUUACUAUGGGAAAAACUUUGUGGCUGUGAUGCCUCCUCAUAAUCAGUACCACCUUCGGUUUCUUUACCGACAAUAAAUUUGGAGGAGUUUGUGAAGCAAUUGAUUCUGGCACUUACUACUCAUUUUCUUCCGGUCUCUAUUGAGUGUGUUGGUGGUAUUAGGGUAUAAGAAGGGGCCAUGCUUGAUCCUCCUCCUACUAAUGAUGAUGAUGAUGACGCUGUUGAUUCCUAGAUUCAUAGUAUUUGUAGUCCUUG
This 305-nucleotide long non-coding RNA is filed under the name Capsicum annuum. RNAcentral's name for it is "long non-coding RNA (CANN_LNC018597)". The record is from RNAcentral. Lineage: Eukaryota; Viridiplantae; Streptophyta; Magnoliopsida; Solanales; Solanaceae.